RNAcentral lists this ribosomal RNA (250 nucleotides) under uncultured bacterium. RNAcentral's name for it is "partial small subunit ribosomal RNA". It matches the Rfam family "Bacterial small subunit ribosomal RNA", at positions 26 to 287 of the family's 1533-position model. The record is from RNAcentral.
AGGACGAACGCUUGCGGCGUGCCUAAGAAAUGCAAGUCGAGCGGGGGAGCAAUCCCUAGCGGCGAACGGUCGCGUAACACGUAAGCAACCUGCCCGAAAGACCGGGACAACAGCUCGAAAGGGCUGCUAAUACCGGAUGUGUCCACUGGGUCUCCUGACCUGGUGAGUAAAUCAUUUAUGGCUUUCGGAGGGGCUUGCGGCCUAUCAGCUAGAUGGCGAGUAACGGCUCACCAUGGCGACGACGGGUAGC